Molecule: RNase P RNA, 214 nt
Filed under: Mesorhizobium sp.
Lineage: Bacteria; Pseudomonadati; Pseudomonadota; Alphaproteobacteria; Hyphomicrobiales; Phyllobacteriaceae
Description: partial RNase P RNA component class A
Rfam family: Bacterial RNase P class A
About the family: Ribonuclease P (RNase P) is a ubiquitous endoribonuclease, found in archaea, bacteria and eukarya as well as chloroplasts and mitochondria.
Source: RNAcentral
CCAGCUGGCCGGGCGGCCGCACCCGCGAAGCCGAAAGGCUGCGGGUGAGGAAAGUCCGGGCUCCAUGGAGACACGGUGCCGGUUAAUGGCCGGCGGGGGCGACCCUAGGGAAAGUGCCACAGAAAGCAAACCGCCACGAUCCGUCGUGGUAAGGGUGAAAGGGUGGGGUAAGAGCCCACCGCGCGACUGGCAACAGGAGCGGCACGGUAAACCC